CAACCCUCAAGCUCAGCUUGGUAUUGGGUAUCACCUAGCAACUGGUGUACCUCAAAAUCAGUGGCGGUGCCCCUCUGGCUUCAAGCGUAGUAACUUUCUCGCUCUGGAGGUUGGAGGAGUGGCUUGCCAGCAACUCCUAAUUUAUCAUCA
Molecule: unclassified non-coding RNA, 150 nt
Filed under: uncultured Leotiomycetes
Lineage: Eukaryota; Fungi; Ascomycota; Leotiomycetes
Description: sequence contains ITS2
Source: RNAcentral